CUCGUAGGCGGUUUGUCGCGUCUGCCGUGAAAGUCCGGGGCUCAACUCCGGAUCUGCGGUGGGUACGGGCAGACUAGAGUGAUGUAGGGGAGACUGGAAUUCCUGGUGUAGCGGUGAAAUGCGCAGAUAUCAGGAGGAACACCGAUGGCGAAGGCAGGUCUCUGGGCAUUAACUGACGCUGAGGAGCGAAAGCAUGGGGAGCGAACG
RNAcentral lists this ribosomal RNA (207 nucleotides) under uncultured bacterium. Its description in RNAcentral is "partial 16S ribosomal RNA". It matches the Rfam family "Bacterial small subunit ribosomal RNA", at positions 568 to 774 of the family's 1533-position model. The record is from RNAcentral.